RNAcentral lists this ribosomal RNA (481 nucleotides) under uncultured Methanosaeta sp. Its description in RNAcentral is "bacterial SSU rRNA". It matches the Rfam family "Archaeal small subunit ribosomal RNA", at positions 856 to 1338 of the family's 1478-position model. Lineage: Archaea; Methanobacteriati; Methanobacteriota; Methanomicrobia; Methanotrichales; Methanotrichaceae. The record is from RNAcentral.
CUUAAGGAAUUGACGGGGAGCACCACAACGGGUGGAGCUUGCGGUUUAAUUGGAUUCAACGCCGGAAAUCUUACCGGGACCGACAGCAAUAUGAAGGCCAGGCUGAAGACUUUGCCGGAUUAGCUGAGAGGUGGUGCAUGGCCGUCGUCAGUUCGUACUGUGAAGCAUCCUGUUAAGUCAGGCAACGAGCGAGACCCACGCCCACAGUUGCCAGCGUACUCUCUGGAGUGACGGGUACACUGUGGGGACCGCCGCUGCUAAAGCGGAGGAAGGAAUGGGCAACGGUAGGUCAGUAUGCCCCGAAUAUCCCGGGCUACACGCGAGCUACAAUGGUUGGUACAAUGGGUAUCUACCCCGAAAGGGGACGGGAAUCUCCUAAACCAAUCUUAGUUCGGAUUGAGGGCUGCAACUCGCCCUCAUGAAGCUGGAAUCCGUAGUAAUCGCGUUUCAACAGAACGCGGUGAAUACGUCCCUGCUCCUU